AAGAGCAACAGAAAAAUACCAUCAACAAGGCGGCAGACGGUGAGAUGGGAGGGGCCUUCUCCAUCUGCUCUUCUGCUCUGCCCACCUCAAUCCUCCUGAAACUGGAGCUUCUCCUCUGCCCACCUCAAUCCUCCUGCUCCUGGAGCUUCUCCUCUUCCCACCUCAAUCCUCCUGCUCCUACGGCUGGAGCUUCUCCUCUUCCCACCUCAAUCCUCCUGCUCCUGGAGCUUCUGCACUUCCCACCUCAAUCCUCCUGCUCCUGGAGCUUCUGCUCUUCCCACCUCAAUCCUCCUGAAACUGGAGGUUCUCCUCUCUCCUCUUCCCACCUCAAUCCUCCUGCUCCUGGAGCUUCUCUCUCCUCUUCCCACCUCAAUCCUCCUGCUCCUGGAGCUUCUCCUCUCUUCUCUUCCCACCUCGAAUUCUCCUGCUCCUACAACUGGAGCUUCUCUCUCCUCUUCCCACCUCAAAUCCUUCUGCUCCUGGAGGUUCUCCUCUNAAUCCUCCUGCUCCUGGAGCUUCUCCUCUCUUCUCUUCCCACCUCGAAUUCUCCUGCUCCUACAACUGGAGCUUCUCUCUCAUCUUCCCACCUCAAAUCCUUCUGCUUCUGGAGCUUCUUCUCUUCCCACCUCAAUCCUCCUGCUCCUACGGUUGGAGCUUCUCUUCUUCUGCUCUGCCCUCCUCAAAUCCUCCUGCUCCUGGAGCUUCUCUCUCCUCUUCCCACCUCAAAUCCUUCUGCUCCUGGAGGUUCUCCUCUCUCCUCUUUCCACCUCAAAUCCUCCUGCUUCUGAAGCUUCUUCUCUCUCCUCUGCCCAACUCAAAUCCUCCUGAUCCUGGAGCUUCUCCUCUCUCCUCUGCCCAACUCAAAUCCUCCUGCUCCUAGAGCUUCUUCUUUCUCCUCUUCCCACCUCAAUCCUCCUGCUCCUGGAGCUUCUCCUCUCUCCUCUGCCCAACUCAAAUCCUCCUGCUCCUAGAGCUUCUUCUUUCUCCUCUUCCCACCUCAAAUCGUCCUGCUCCUGGAGCUUCUCCUCUUCCCACCUCAAAUCCUCCUGCUCCUGCGUCUGGAGCUUCUC
Molecule: long non-coding RNA, 1070 nt
Filed under: Calidris pygmaea (Spoon-billed sandpiper)
Lineage: Eukaryota; Metazoa; Chordata; Aves; Charadriiformes; Scolopacidae
Description: lncRNA (ENSCPGG00000008675.1)
Source: RNAcentral